UUAAUUAGAGUCGUCCACUUUCGGACUAUUGUGACAAGUUGGAAGAAUCUAUUUUACCAAUACCGCAUGCUUCAAUUGGCACUUGAGUUGAGAGAGUUAUAGCUUCUUAUAUCUUCAGGUGGGUCUUUCCAUAACCUCUCUGCUGUAUCUGUACAAGGUGGAUUACUACACAUGAUUCCAUAUCUACCAAGAAAGCGUGGAUCUUAUCUCCCUGCUCGGGCUUCCAAGGAUGUCCCUUACAGUUUUCGGUUCCCUCCAAUGACAAAAAAGCCAAGGUGGUGGUGGAGGACGCUAGCAUGCCUCCCUUAUUUGAUGCCUUUCCAUGAAACCUGGAUGUAUGCUCAGACAGCAUAUAACUUGCACCCCUUCAUUGAACAGUUUGAGUAUCUUACAUACCCGUUCCUCAGAGCUAUUGGUAGCUUGCCAGGCUGGUUCUUGAUGGCCUAUUUCUUCUGCGCCUAUCUUGGAGUUGUCAGGAGAAAGGAAUGGCCACAUUUCUUCAGAUUUCAUGUGGUGACAGGAAUGUUGCUCGAGAUUGCCCUGCAGGUGGUUGGAACGGUGAGCCGUUGGAUGCCACAAGGUUUAUACUGGGGGAAGCUUGGGAUGCACUUUUGGACGGCCCUGGCAUUUGCUCACCUUUUCACUGUCCUCGAAUGCAUAAGGUGUGCUAUCUGUGGUAUGUACGCUGAUGUCCCUUUUGUCUCUGAUGCUGCAUACAUUCAGAUUCCAUAUGACUAAUGAGUAGCAAGCACAGCAGUAGCAGUGCAUUAUUUGUCUUUUUCAUUGUUGUAAUGUUUCCUUACUCUCGUACAAGUGUGUUGGUCGGAAACAUUUGAAGCAGAAACGAAUUGCUCUAAUAUGUCAAAUGCAAGUCCCUUGUCAAGUUACCAGAUUUGUUUGCUUGUAUUGUAUUAGACAAUUAAACAUCUCAAUGAUAGUGGCUAGAGUCUUUGUCGAUGCCAUGCUUUAGAUGAGUACAUUUCAAUGAUAGUGUUUCUGAAACUAUUAAAUAUUGAACCUUUUGUAAGUUAAGAUGAGUUCUACCCAAAAGUUGUAACAAUUGAUGAUAUAAGAGCUAAUAAGAGCUAGCGGCAGAGCUAGAAAAUUGACCGACGUGGUUCGAAAUUUGUAACAUGAAAAAGUAAACCAAAUAACUAAAAAAUCAACUCUAAGGUGAUUAAGAAAGUGGAUGACCAGUCUACUUCUAAAGCGGCAGAGUGGAUAAGGCAAUCAUCCAAACCUUUGAUCCAAAGGGAGGAUGCACUAACUCUACUUCUCCAUUGCCAUCCAAACCUUUACUUAAAAGGAGAGGACACGCUGACUCAACAAGAGGCUAUAAACCUGCUGCCCUGUUUACUGCUAGAUUCCCGUGUUGGUUGGCUGAGUUUUGUUUUGAUAGCGAGCUUGGUAAAUUUUGGCUAGUCGGGAAGUGUGACAUCCUGAUUUGAGUUCUUCACAGUUGAUUCACAUUUUUCUUCGAUGAACAUUCAAUUAUAUUACAUGGAUGCUGAGUUUGAUCAAUGAGUUCAAAUUGAGCAUUCAAUUGUAUUCGAUCCACUUGGAUGAACCUAGUUUACGCUUCUAACAAUCUGGCUGAUAUCACCAAUCCAAUUCGUGACCUGCCAACUUCAGCUCGUAUUUAAGAAACCCGAGUUUACUUUUUGAUCAGUCUCCCCAAGAAGCAUAUGCUUGCCCCUGUGCAAAUCCAUCGCUCUCUACCCUUGAUGGUUAGGCAUGACAAUUCGGUCGAAAUCGAUUAUUCACUUUCGAUUUUCGAUUUUGGUCGAAUUCGAAUUCAGGAAAAAUCAUUAUCGAUUUCGGUUUUUCGAAUUUGAAUUCAAUUCGAAAUUGGUUACUUGCCCUAAUCGAAAAUCUGACCGAUAUGGUAGAUCCAAAUCUCAAACUUACCGAUCUGGAAAAUUCCUCCAAGCCACGUCGCCUAUUUGUCGGCCUUCAUCCCCAACCUUCUUCUGAGUCCAAGCCGCGUCGUCCGUCAAGAAGUGGGUCGACCUUCUUCCCAGCCGUCAUCGGAUCUCAAGCCAUCGCCAUGGAUUUCUAAGGCCAUGGAUUCACAAAGAAUAAAACUAGAAGAUAGAAGAAACGAGAUGAUGAAUCGAGAUCUUAGGUUGACAAGAUUUGACAAGAUGAAGUGACGGCUAGAUCUAAAUGAACCGAAGAUCUUGUCGGAGUUGAGAUUGGAGCAAGCGGCGGCAACAUGACGAGGGUACUAGUGGCAACGGUGGUCGAGAAAGAGGAAUGGGAGUUCGAUCGAAGGGGAAGGAACGAGAAUUAGGGUUGGACUGCAAUCUGCUGUCUGCAAGCUCGAUCAAAGGACGAAGGGAAAGCCCAAGGCCUCCUUUGGUAUGGAGUAAUGAAGAGUGGGGGAAAAGUAGAAAAAGGGAAUUGAGGAAUCAGAGAUUGUGUAAUUUCAAUUACAUUGUUUGGUGACAAAGUUUGCAAUUGAAAUACAAUUUUCAAUUUGUUAGGGAUUAAUUGUGCAAUGACCACGAUGCCCUUAUUUGAAAUCCAAUUUCAAGACCCAUCAUCUUCUAGUUAGCAAAAAUUCGUUUAAUACUCGUAUAAUACACAUAUACGUACUAUAUGCGUUUAGAACUUCCGUUCUCGUACUAUUGUAGAGCCGUUUAAUUUUAAAAUUUUAAUAUUUU
RNAcentral lists this long non-coding RNA (2666 nucleotides) under Linum usitatissimum (flax). Its description in RNAcentral is "long non-coding RNA (LUSI_LNC004902)". The record is from RNAcentral. Lineage: Eukaryota; Viridiplantae; Streptophyta; Magnoliopsida; Malpighiales; Linaceae.